Molecule: ribosomal RNA, 368 nt
Filed under: uncultured organism
Description: bacterial SSU rRNA
Rfam family: Bacterial small subunit ribosomal RNA
Source: RNAcentral
CGGAGGGUGCAAGCGUUAUCCGGAUUUACUGGGUUUAAAGGGUGUGUAGGCGGGUUAUUAAGUCAGUGGUGAAAUCUCCGAGCUUAACUUGGAAACUGCCAUUGAUACUAUUAGCCUUGAAUUUUGUUGAGGUAGGCGGAAUAAGUCAUGUAGCGGUGAAAUGCAUAGAUAUGACUUAGAACACCAAUUGCGAAGGCAGCUUGCUAAACAAAUAUUGACGCUGAGGCACGAAAGCGUGGGGAUCAAACAGGAUUAGAUACCCUGGUAGUCCACGCCCUAAACGAUGAUUACUCGACAUACGCGAUACACAGUGUGUGUCUGAGCGAAAGCAUUAAGUAAUCCACCUGGGAAGUACGACCGCAAGGUUG